RNAcentral lists this non-coding RNA (80 nucleotides) under uncultured Eubacterium sp. RNAcentral's name for it is "S10-Clostridia ribosomal protein leader". It matches the Rfam family "S10-Clostridia ribosomal protein leader". Lineage: Bacteria; Bacillati; Bacillota; Clostridia; Eubacteriales; Eubacteriaceae. The record is from RNAcentral.
UGAUAGCGUUGAAACGAGAGGUUGCUACAGUAAUGUAGGUUUUCCGCGGAGCGAAUGUCAAGUUAGGAAACUGGCGACAA